This 512-nucleotide ribosomal RNA is filed under the name uncultured bacterium. RNAcentral's name for it is "partial 16S ribosomal RNA". It matches the Rfam family "Bacterial small subunit ribosomal RNA", at positions 28 to 507 of the family's 1533-position model. The record is from RNAcentral.
GAUGAACGCUGGCGGCGUGCCUAAUACAUGCAAGUCGAACGAAACUUCUUUAUCACCGAGUGCUUGCACUCACCGAUAAAGAGUUGAGUGGCGAACGGGUGAGUAACACGUGGGCAACCUGCCCAAAAGAGGGGGAUAACACUUGGAAACAGGUGCUAAUACCGCAUAACCAUAGUUACCGCAUGGUAACUAUGUAAAAGGUGGCUAUACUACCGCUUUUGGAUGGGCCCGCGGCGCAUUAGCUAGUUGGUAGGGUAAAGGCUUACCAAGGCAAUGAUGCGUAGCCGAAUUGAGAGGUUGAUCGGCCACAUUGGGACUGAGACACGGCCCAAACUCCUACGGGAGGCAGCAGUAGGGAAUCUUCCACAAUGGGCGAAAGCCUGAUGGAGCAACGCCGCGUGGGUGAAGAAGGUCUUCGGAUCGUAAAGCCCUGUUGUUAGAGAAGAAAGUGCGUGAGAGUAACUGUUCACGUUUCGACGGUAUCUAACCAGAAAGCCACGGCUAACUACGUG